UUAUAGCUUGUUUAUUAUUUAAUUAUUUUAUAAUUAACUAGAUAUUGUAUGUUAUACGCAUUAGACAUGGAUAGUACAGGACGCGAGGAAGUUUUAGCUUCAGAGAAUAUAGACAGGCUAUCAGAAACUUUAAUGAAUUUAAUGGUCAGUUUGGUUCUAGAGGAGGAUGCAAGCGUUGGCGCGAAGGACGCGUCACAUCCGGUGGAAACGGAAGGCAGCGCGCACGCUCCACCGGACGUAGCCACCGUGAGGCCACACUUGCAAUGUAGUGACGGCGAAAAAGUUAUAUUGAAGACUUGUAUCGAUUUAAUCCAGCAAUAUAUUCAACUCGUGGAAAAGUCUCACAGCCACUGAUUUUAACUCAUUUGUUUUUCUUAAGUUAUGAAAAUAUAGUUGAAUUCAAAUUG
Molecule: long non-coding RNA, 407 nt
Organism: Leptidea sinapis
Lineage: Eukaryota; Metazoa; Arthropoda; Insecta; Lepidoptera; Pieridae
Exons: 3
Source: RefSeq, a predicted model, not a curated record